RNAcentral lists this ribosomal RNA (576 nucleotides) under Debaryomyces hansenii. Its description in RNAcentral is "eukaryotic LSU rRNA". It matches the Rfam family "Eukaryotic large subunit ribosomal RNA", at positions 52 to 643 of the family's 3401-position model. The record is from RNAcentral. Lineage: Eukaryota; Fungi; Ascomycota; Pichiomycetes; Serinales; Debaryomycetaceae.
GGAGGAAAAGAAACCAACAGGGAUUGCCUUAGUAACGGCGAGUGAAGCGGCAAAAGCUCAAAUUUGAAAUCUGGCACCUUCGGUGUCCGAGUUGUAAUUUGAAGAAGGUAACUUUGGAGUUGGCUCUUGUCUAUGUUCCUUGGAACAGGACGUCACAGAGGGUGAGAAUCCCGUGCGAUGAGAUGCCCAAUUCUAUGUAAAGUGCUUUCGAAGAGUCGAGUUGUUUGGGAAUGCAGCUCUAAGUGGGUGGUAAAUUCCAUCUAAAGCUAAAUAUUGGCGAGAGACCGAUAGCGAACAAGUACAGUGAUGGAAAGAUGAAAAGAACUUUGAAAAGAGAGUGAAAAAGUACGUGAAAUUGUUGAAAGGGAAGGGCUUGAGAUCAGACUUGGUAUUUUGCGAUCCUUUCCUUCUUGGUUGGGUUCCUCGCAGCUUACUGGGCCAGCAUCGGUUUGGAUGGUAGGAUAAUGACUAAGGAAUGUGGCUCUACUUCGGUGGAGUGUUAUAGCCUUGGUUGAUACUGCCUGUCUAGACCGAGGACUGCGUCUUUUGACUAGGAUGUUGGCAUAAUGAUCUUAA